AAAUAUUCAUUCAGUCCCCAGGCCUGGACUGGGGAGCAUCAAAAUUUCCAGUGUUCUGUUUUCUGUUCUGUUUAGUGAAAAAAAUUAAAUCAAACAAAUUUAAAAAAAGUGAAAAAUAAUUUCCGGACUAUUAAAAAAAAAAAUAAUCAAACAAAAAUAAACUAAAUUACACUAAAAAUGAUUCUCAAAAUAAGAUACAGGAUCCGCUGAUCCUUGUUUCUGUACAGGCCUGUUCCACAGAUGGAUGAAAGGAGAUGAAGAUACCUCCAGGCACCCACACCCACACCACCACACCACCACACCACCACACCGCAAGCACACAUUCGCAAUCGAACUCGAACUCGAACUCGUCAACGCUUUUGCACAACUAUACUAUUGCAGGAUGGAACCGGCCGAAAGCACAGUGGAUGGCAUCCUGGACAAGAGCUUCAUUGGGCAGAUAAACCAAGAAGCAAACUAUAAGCAGCCUCUACCUUGGUAUUGAAGGCUCUGCUGUCGAUGCCAUCGGCACAGGAUCCGCUGAUCCUUGUUUCUGUACAGGCCUCUUCCACAGAUGGAUGAAAGGAGAGGAAGAUACCUCCAGGCACCCACACCCACACCACACCACAACUAUACUAUUGCAGAAUGGAACCGGCCGAAGGCACAGGGGAUGGCAUCCUGGACAAGAGCUUCAUUGGGCAGAUAAACCAAGAAGCAAACUAUAAGCAGCCUCUACCUUGGUAUUGAAGGCUCUGCUGUCGAUGCCAUCGGCACAGGAUCCGCUGAUCCUUGUUUCUGUACAGGCCUCUUCCACAGAUGGAUGAAAGGAGAGGAAGAUACCUCCAGGCACCCACACCCACACCACACCACAACUAUACUAUUGCAGAAUGGAACCGGCCGAAGGCACAGGGGAUGGCAUCCUGGACAAGAGCUUCAUUGGGCAGAUAAACCAAGAAGCAAACUAUAAGCAGCCUCUACCUUGGUAUUGAAGGCUCUGCUGUCGAUGCCAUCGGCACAGAAUCCGCUGAUCCUUGUUUCUGUACAGGCCUCUUCCACAGAUGGAUGAAAGGAGAGGAAGAUACCUCCAGGCACCCACACCCACACCACCACACCACCACACCGCAAGCACACAUUCGCAAUCGAACUCGAACUCGUCAGCUUUUGCACAACUAUACUAUUGCAGGAUGGAACCGGCCGAAAGCACAGGGGAUGGCAUCCUGGACAAGAGCUUCAUUGGGCAGAUAAACCAAGAAGCGAACUAUAAGCAGCCUCUACCUUGGUAUUGAAGGCUCUGCUGUCGAUGCCAUCGGCACAGGAUCCGCUGAUCCUUGUUUCUGUACAGGCCUUUUGCACAGAUGGAUGAAAGGAGAGGAAGAUACCUCCAGGCACCCACACCACCACACCACCACACUGCACGCACACAUUCGCAAUCGAGCUCGAACUCGUCAACGCUUUUGCACAACUAUACUAUUGCAGGAUGGAACCGGCCGAAAGCACAGGGGAUGGCAUCCUGGACAAGAGCUUCAUUGGGCAGAUAAACCAAGAAGCAAACUAUAAGCAGCCUCUACCUUGGUAUUGAAGGCUCUGCUGUCGAUGCCAUCGGCACAGGAUCCGCUGAUCCUUGUUUCUGUACAGGCCUUUUGCACAGAUGGAUGAAAGGAGAGGAAGAUACCUCCAGGCACCCACACCCACACCACCAUACCACCACACCGCAAGCACACAUUCGCAAUCGAACUCGAACUCGUCAGCUUUUGCACAACUAUACUAUUGCAGGAUGGAACCGGCCGAAAGCACAGGGGAUGGCAUCCUGGACAAGAGCUUCAUUGGGCAGAUAAACCAAGAAGCAAACUAUAAGCAGCCUCUACCUUGGUAUUGAAGGCUCUGCUGUCGAUGGUAUCGGCACAGGAUCCGUUGAUCCGUGUUUCUGUACAGGCCUGUUCCACAGAUGGAUGAAAGGAGAUGAAGAUACCUCCAGGCACCCACACCCACACCCACACCACCACACCGCACGCACACAUUCGCAAUCGAGCUCGAACUCGUCAACGCUUUUGCACAACUAUACUAUUGCAGGAUGGAACCGGCCGAAAGCACAGGGGAUGGCAUCCUGGACAAGAGCUUCAUUGGGCAGAUAAACCAAGAAGCAAACUAUAAGCAGCCUCUACCAUGGUAUUGAAGGCUCUGCUGUCGAUGCCAUCGGCACAGGAUCCGCUGAUCCUUGUUUCUGUACAGGCCUCUUCCACAGAUGGAUGAAAGGAGAGGAAGAUACCUCCAGGCACCCACACCCACACCACCACACCACCACACCGCAAGCACACAUUCGCAAUCGAACUCGAACUCGAACUCGUCAACUUUUGCACAACUAUACUAUUGCAGGAUGGAACCGGCUGAAGGCACAGGGGAUGGCAUCCUGGACAAGAGCUUCAUUGGGCAGAUAAACCAAGAAGCAAACUAUAAGCAGCCUCUACCUUGGUAUUGAAGGCUCUGCUGUCGAUGGCAUCGGCACUCGACACUGUGGGCUCUGGUCUCGGCUCUGAAUAUUGUGGAUCACAUUAAGAAACAGAACAACAAAUCAACACGGAUUAUUGCCAGCACAGAACACCAAUCGACACAUUUUAUCGACUUUGUUUA
Long non-coding RNA from Drosophila pseudoobscura, 2607 nucleotides. RefSeq lists it as uncharacterized. The transcript is spliced from 10 exons. NCBI's taxonomy places the organism in Eukaryota, Metazoa, Arthropoda, Insecta, Diptera, Drosophilidae. The record is from RefSeq and is a predicted model, not a curated record.